AAAAAAAGAAAUCUAACUCAGUGUCAAUUAACAGUCCAUCUUUUGAAGGGGUUCACGUGACUUUAUGCAAAUGGAAGUUUAGUUUUUGUCAUAUCAUUCACGAACAAAUGUAGACAAAUAAAAGUGGCAUCUUCAACGGGCUUUUGGUUUCAAUAUGUAGGAUGCUACUUGUGAAUGUUAAUCUUCAUUUAAGGCCAAUUUCCACAAUUCAUUCUUGAGG
This 220-nucleotide unclassified non-coding RNA is filed under the name Hevea brasiliensis (rubber tree). Lineage: Eukaryota; Viridiplantae; Streptophyta; Magnoliopsida; Malpighiales; Euphorbiaceae. The record is from RNAcentral.